AUUGAACGCUGGCGGCAUGCCUUACACAUGCAAGUCGAACGGCAGCGCGGGGGCAACCCUGGCGGCGAGUGGCGAACGGGUGAGUAAUAUAUCGGAACGUACCCAAGAGUGGGGGAUAACGUAGCGAAAGUUACGCUAAUACCGCAUACGAUCUAAGGAUGAAAGCAGGGGACCGCAAGGCCUUGUGCUCCUGGAGCGGCCGAUAUCUGAUUAGCUAGUUGGUGGGGUAAAGGCCUACCAAGGCAUCGAUCAGUAGCUGGUCUGAGAGGACGACCAGCCACACUGGGACUGAGACACGGCCCAGACUCCUACGGGAGGCAGCAGUGGGGAAUUUUGGACAAUGGGGGGCAACCCUGAUCCAGCAAUGCCGCGUGAGUGAAGAAGGCCUUACGGUUGGU
Molecule: ribosomal RNA, 398 nt
Filed under: uncultured bacterium
Lineage: Bacteria
Description: bacterial SSU rRNA
Rfam family: Bacterial small subunit ribosomal RNA
Source: RNAcentral